This 581-nucleotide ribosomal RNA is filed under the name Williopsis jadinii. Its description in RNAcentral is "Cyberlindnera jadinii partial 26S ribosomal RNA". It matches the Rfam family "Eukaryotic large subunit ribosomal RNA", at positions 62 to 651 of the family's 3401-position model. Lineage: Eukaryota; Fungi; Ascomycota; Saccharomycetes; Phaffomycetales; Wickerhamomycetaceae. The record is from RNAcentral.
AAACCAACAGGGAUUGCCUCAGUAACGGCGAGUGAAGCGGCAAAAGCUCAAAUUUGAAAUCUGAGGCUCUCCAGCCCCCGAGUUGUAAUUUGAAGAUGGUGUUCUGGUGCCGGCCCCCUGUCUACGUUCCUUGGAACAGGACAUCACAGAGGGUGAGAAUCCCGUCUGGCGGGGCGGCCUGGCUCCGUGUAGAGCGCCAUCGACGAGUCGAGUUGUUUGGGAAUGCAGCUCUAAGUGGGUGGUAAAUUCCAUCUAAAGCUAAAUAUUGGCGAGAGACCGAUAGCGAACAAGUACAGUGAUGGAAAGAUGAAAAGAACUUUGAAAAGAGAGUGAAAAAGUACGUGAAAUUGUUGAAAGGGAAGGGUAUUGGAUCAGACUUGGUGCUGUGCGAAUAGCGGCCCUUCUUGGGCUGCCCACUCGCACUCCACCGGGCCAGCAUCGGUUUGGGCGGCAAGACAAUGGCGGGGGAACGUGGCACUGCUCUCGGGCAGUGUGUUUAUAGCCCCCGCUGAUGUUGCCUGCCUAGACCGAGGACUGCGGCUUCUGCCUAGGAUGCUGGCGUAAUGAUCCAACACCGCCCG